This 320-nucleotide ribosomal RNA is filed under the name uncultured eukaryote. RNAcentral's name for it is "partial 18S ribosomal RNA". It matches the Rfam family "Eukaryotic small subunit ribosomal RNA", at positions 1470 to 1796 of the family's 1831-position model. The record is from RNAcentral.
CCCUUAGAUGUUCUGGGCCGCACGCGCGCUACACUGAACAGUUCAACAAGUCUUAACCUUGGCCGAUGGGUCUGGGUAAUCUUUGAACGCUGUUCGUGAUUGGGAUAGACCUUUGCAAUUAUGGGUCUUCAACGAGGAAUUCCUAGUAAACGCAAGUCAUCAGCUUGCAUUGAUUACGUCCCUGCCCUUUGUACACACCGCCCGUCGCACCUACCGAUUGAAUGGUCCGGUGAAAUCUCGGGACGGCGGCUUGGUCGCUUGCGUCCGACUGCUGAAACUUGAUUAAACCAUAUCAUUUAGAGGAAGGUGAAGUCGUAACA